Molecule: small RNA, 32 nt
Filed under: Bombyx mori (domestic silkworm)
Lineage: Eukaryota; Metazoa; Arthropoda; Insecta; Lepidoptera; Bombycidae
Description: ovarian small RNA-11772
Source: RNAcentral
AGAACUAGGGAGAGGUACGCUGUUCGCAGCGC